GGAGAGGUGCCAGAGUGGUUGAAUGGGGCGGUCUCGAAAACCGUUGCACGGCCCGGCCGUGCCGGGGGUUCGAAUCCCCCUCUCUCCGCCA
Molecule: transfer RNA, 91 nt
Filed under: Holosporales bacterium
Lineage: Bacteria; Pseudomonadati; Pseudomonadota; Alphaproteobacteria; Holosporales
Description: tRNA-Ser
Rfam family: tRNA
About the family: Transfer RNA (tRNA) molecules are approximately 80 nucleotides in length. Their secondary structure includes four short double-helical elements and three loops (D, anti-codon, and T loops).
Source: RNAcentral